AAAUUGAAGAGUUUGAUCAUGGCUCAGAUUGAACGCUGGCGGCAGGCCUAACACAUGCAAGUCGAACGGUAACAGGAAACAGCUUGCUGAUUUGCUGACGAGUGGCGGACGGGUGAGUAAUGUCUGGGAAACUGCCUGAUGGAGGGGGAUAACUACUGGAAACGGUAGCUAAUACCGCAUAAUGUCGCAAGACCAAAGAGGGGGACCUUCGGGCCUCUUGCCAUCGGAUGUGCCCAGAUGGGAUUAGCUAGUAGGUGGGGUAACGGCUCACCUAGGCGACGAUCCCUAGCUGGUCUGAGAGGAUGACCAGCCACACUGGAACUGAGACACGGUCCAGACUCCUACGGGAGGCAGCAGUGGGGAAUAUUGCACAAUGGGCGCAAGCCUGAUGCAGCCAUGCCGCGUGUAUGAAGAAGGCCUUCGGGUUGUAAAGUACUUUCAGCGGGGAGGAAGGGAGUAAAGU
This 463-nucleotide ribosomal RNA is filed under the name Escherichia coli. RNAcentral describes it as "bacterial SSU rRNA". It matches the Rfam family "Bacterial small subunit ribosomal RNA", at positions 1 to 460 of the family's 1533-position model. Lineage: Bacteria; Pseudomonadati; Pseudomonadota; Gammaproteobacteria; Enterobacterales; Enterobacteriaceae. The record is from RNAcentral.